UACGUAGGGUGCGAGCGUUGUCCGGAUUUAUUGGGCGUAAAGAGCUCGUAGGCGGCUCGUCGCGUCGACCGUGAAAACCCGCAGCUUAACUGCGGGCUUGCGGUUGAUACGGGCGGGCUAGAGUUCGGUAGGGGAGACUGGAAUUCCUGGUGUAGCGGUGAAAUGCGCAGAUAUCAGGAGGAACACCGAUGGCGAAGGCAGGUCUCUGGGCAUUAACUGACGCUGAGGAGCGAAAGCAUGGGGAGCGAACAGG
Molecule: ribosomal RNA, 253 nt
Filed under: uncultured bacterium
Lineage: Bacteria
Description: partial 16S ribosomal RNA
Rfam family: Bacterial small subunit ribosomal RNA
Source: RNAcentral